RNAcentral lists this non-coding RNA (118 nucleotides) under Pan troglodytes (chimpanzee). The record is from Rfam by way of RNAcentral. Lineage: Eukaryota; Metazoa; Chordata; Mammalia; Primates; Hominidae.
GCCGGGCGUGGUGGCUCAUGCCUGUAAUCCCCAGCACUUUGGGAGGCUGAGGUGGGCGGAUCACCUGAGGUCAGGGGUUCGAGACCAGCCUGGCCAACAUGGUGAAACCCCAUCUCUA